GAUGAAUGCUGGCGGCGUGCCUAACACAUGCAAGUCGAGCGGCAGCGAGGGGUGCUUGCACCCUGUCGGCGAGCGGCGGACGGCUGAGUAACGCGUGGGAAUCUACCCUAAAGUGAGGGAUAACCGCCCGAAAGGGUGGCUAAUACCGCAUAUGAUCCUCGGAUUAAAGGAUUUAUCCGCUUUAGGAAGAGCCCGCGUUAGAUUAGGUAGUUGGUAGGGUAAUGGCCUACCAAGCCAACGAUCUAUAGCUGGUCUGAGAGGAUGAUCAGCCAGACUGGAACUGAGACACGGUCCAGACUCCUACGGGAGGCAGCAGUGAGGAAUCUUCCACAAUGGGCGAAAGCCUGAUGGAGCAACGCCGCGUGAAGGAUGAAGGCCUUCGGGUUGUAAACUUCUUUUAUGAGUGAAGAAUAUGACGGUAACUCAUGAAUAAGCACCGGCUAACUACGUGCCAGCAGCCGCGGUCAUACGUAGGGUGCAAGCAUUAUCCGGAGUGACUGGGCGUAAAGAGUUGCGUAGGCGGUUUAAUAAGUGAAUAGUGAAACCUGGUGGCUCAACCAUACAGACUAUUAUUCAAACUGUUAGACUCGAGAGUAGUAGAGGUAACUGGAAUUUCUAGUGUAGGAGUGAAAUCCGUAGAUAUUAGAAGGAACACCAAUGGCGUAGGCAGGUUACUGGACUAUUUCUGACGCUAAGGCACGAAAGCGUGGGGAGCGAACUGGAUUAGAUACCCAGGUAGUCCACGCCGUAAACGAUGGAUACUAGCUGUUGGAGGUAUCGACCCCUUCAGUAGCGAAGCUAACGCGUUAAGUAUCCCGCCUGUGGAGUACGGCCGCAAGGCUAAAACAUAAAGGAAUUGACGGGGACCCGCACAAGCGGUGGAUCAUGUUCUUUAAUUCGAUGAUAAACGAAGAACCUUACCAGGGUUUGACAUCCCGAGAAGAUUUACGAAAGUAGAUUGUGCCUUUUGGAACUCGGUGACAGAUGAUGCAUGGCCGUCGUCAGCUCGUGUCGUGAGAUGUUUGGUUAAGUCCAUCAACGAGCGCAACCCUUGUGAAUAGUUGAAUUUUUCUAUUCAGACUGCCCCGGCAACGGGGA
This 1098-nucleotide ribosomal RNA is filed under the name uncultured Candidatus Saccharibacteria bacterium. RNAcentral describes it as "bacterial SSU rRNA". It matches the Rfam family "Bacterial small subunit ribosomal RNA", at positions 28 to 1167 of the family's 1533-position model. The record is from RNAcentral. Lineage: Bacteria; Candidatus Saccharimonadota.